This 512-nucleotide ribosomal RNA is filed under the name uncultured bacterium. RNAcentral describes it as "bacterial SSU rRNA". It matches the Rfam family "Bacterial small subunit ribosomal RNA", at positions 29 to 518 of the family's 1533-position model. The record is from RNAcentral.
AAUGAACGCUGGCGGCGUGGAUAAGGCAUGCAAGUCGAACGAAUCGGUCCUUGGAAGUUUUGAAAGAGAUUUGAGUAGUAAUACAAGAGUCAAUUGAUAAAUGGAAAAGGUUUUCCGAUUAGUGGCAAACGGGGUAGUAACACGUGGGAACGUACCAAGAAGUCGUGAAUAAUGCAUCGAAAGGUGUACUAAUACACGAUGGUCCGGAAACGGUAAAGAUUUAUCGCUUCUUGAACGGCCUGCGGGGUAUCAGCUUGUUGGUAGUGUAAAAGACUACCAAGGCUAUGACGCCUAGGGGAGGUGAGAGCCUGACCCCCACCAUUGGAACUGCGACACGGUCCAAACACCUACGGGUGGCUGCAGUCGAGAAUCUUCCGCAAUGCACGAAAGUGUGACGGAGCGACGCCGCGUGAUGGAUGAAGCCCCUCGGGGUGUAAACAUCUUUUAUGUAUGAAGAAAUUAUUGACAUUAGUACAUGAAUAGGAGGCUCCUAACUCUGUGCCAGCAGCCGC